RNAcentral lists this ribosomal RNA (513 nucleotides) under uncultured bacterium. RNAcentral describes it as "bacterial SSU rRNA". It matches the Rfam family "Bacterial small subunit ribosomal RNA", at positions 15 to 518 of the family's 1533-position model. The record is from RNAcentral.
GAUCCUGGCUACAGAACGAACGCUGGCGGCGCGUUUAAGCAUGCAAGUCGAGCGGCAAGGGCCUUCGGGCCCUAGAGCGGCGGACGGGUGAGUAACACGUGGACAAUCUGCCCCCCGGCCCGGGAUAGCCCAGGGAACCUGGAUUGAUACCGGAUGAGACGGGACCCGCGAAGGCGGGACCCGGGAAAGGCGCUGCGGCGUCCGCCGGGGGAUGAGUCUGCGUCCCAUUAGCUAGACGGCGGGGUAACGGCCCACCGUGGCGACGAUGGGUAGCCGGCCUGAGAGGGUGGACGGCCACAUUGGAACUGAGACACGGUCCAGACUCCUACGGGAGGCAGCAGCUAAGAAUCUUCCGCAAUGGGCGAAAGCCUGACGGAGCCGACGCCGCGUGAACGAAGAAGGCCGUGAGGUUGUAAAGUUCUUUUCGGGAGGGGGAACAACCGUGGCAGGGAAUGGCCGCGGGAUGACGUGAAUCCCGGAAUAAGCCCCGGCUAACUACGUGCCAGCCGCAGC